UACGUAGGGGGGCUAGCGUUGUCCGGAAUCAUUGGGCGUAAAGAGCGCGUAGGCGGCUAGAUAAGUCCGGUGUGAAAGUCACAGGCUCAACCUGUGAGUGCCGCUGGAAACUGUCUGGCUAGAGUCCGGAAGGGGCGAGUGGAAUUCCUGGUGUAGCGGUGAAAUGCGCAGAUAUCAGGAGGAACACCAACGGCGAAGGCAGACUCUGGGACGGUUACUGACGCUGAGCACGAGAACGUGGGGAGCAAACAGGAUUAGAACCGACCGUGUCA
RNAcentral lists this ribosomal RNA (272 nucleotides) under uncultured bacterium. RNAcentral describes it as "partial 16S ribosomal RNA". It matches the Rfam family "Bacterial small subunit ribosomal RNA", at positions 524 to 792 of the family's 1533-position model. The record is from RNAcentral.